Molecule: ribosomal RNA, 492 nt
Filed under: uncultured bacterium
Lineage: Bacteria
Description: partial 16S ribosomal RNA
Rfam family: Bacterial small subunit ribosomal RNA
Source: RNAcentral
AGUGAACGCUGGCGGUAGGCCUAACACAUGCAAGUCGAACGGCAGCACAGUAAGAGCUUGCUCUUACGGGUGGCGAGUGGCGGACGGGUGAGGAAUACAUCGGAAUCUACUUUUUCGUGGGGGAUAACGUAGGGAAACUUACGCUAAUACCGCAUACGACCUACGGGUGAAAGCAGGGGAUCUUCGGACCUUGCGCAAUUGAAUGAGCCGAUGUCGGAUUAGCUAGUUGGCGGGGUAAAGGCCCACCAAGGCGACGAUCCGUAGCUGGUCUGAGAGGAUGAUCAGCCACACUGGAACUGAGACACGGUCCAGACUCCUACGGGAGGCAGCAGUGGGGAAUAUUGGACAAUGGGCGCAAGCCUGAUCCAGCCAUACCGCGUGGGUGAAGAAGGCCUUCGGGUUGUAAAGCCCAUUUGUUGGGAAAGAAAAGCAGCAGGUUAAUACCCCGCUGUUCUGACGGUACCCAAAGAAUAAGCACCGGCUAACUUCGUG